UUGACCUCGAAUCAGGUAGGAAUACCCGCUGAACUUAAGCAUAUCAAUAAGCGGAGGAAAAGAAACCAACCGGGAUUACCUCAGUAACGGCGAGUGAAGCGGUAACAGCUCAAAUUUGAAAUCUGGCUCUUGCGGAGUCCGAGUUGUAAUUUGUAGAAGAUGCUUUGGGUUGUGGGUUCGGCCUAAGUUCCUUGGAACAGGACGUCAUAGAGGGUGAGAAUCCCGUAUGUGGCCGAGGCCCGCGCCUAUGUAAAGCUCUUUCAACGAGUCGAGUUGUUUGGGAAUGCAGCUCAAAAUGGGUGGUAAAUUUCAUCUAAAGCUAAAUAUGGGCCAGAGACCGAUAGCGCACAAGUAGAGUGAUCGAAAGAUGAAAAGCACUUUGGAAAGAGAGUUAAACAGUACGUGAAAUUGUUGAAAGGGAAGCGCUUGCAACCAGACUUGGGCGCUGCCGAUCACCUUGAGUUUUCUCGAGUGCACUCGACAGCGCACAGGCCAGCAUCGGUUCGGGUGGCUGGAUAAAGGCCGUAGGAAUGUGGCUCUCUUCGGGGAGUGUUAUAGCCUACGGUGCCAUGCAGCCCAGCCGGACCGAGGACCGCGCCUUCGGGCUAGGAUGCUGGCGUAAUGGUUGUAAGCGACCCGUCUUGAAACACGGACCAAGGAGUCUAACAUCUAUGCGAGUGUUUGGGUGGUAAACCCAUACGCGGAAUGAAAGUGAACGUAGGUGAGAACCGCUUUGGGGCGCAUCAUCGACCGAUCCUGAUGUCUUCGGAUGGAUUUGAGUAAGAGCAUAGCUGUUGGGAACC
Molecule: ribosomal RNA, 803 nt
Filed under: Erysiphe quercicola
Lineage: Eukaryota; Fungi; Ascomycota; Leotiomycetes; Helotiales; Erysiphaceae
Description: eukaryotic LSU rRNA
Rfam family: Eukaryotic large subunit ribosomal RNA
Source: RNAcentral